This 253-nucleotide ribosomal RNA is filed under the name uncultured bacterium. RNAcentral's name for it is "partial 16S ribosomal RNA". It matches the Rfam family "Bacterial small subunit ribosomal RNA", at positions 524 to 776 of the family's 1533-position model. The record is from RNAcentral.
UACGUAGGGCGCAAGCGUUGUCCGGAAUUAUUGGGCGUAAAGGGCUCGUAGGCGGUUUGUCGCGUCGGGAGUGAAAACUCAGGGCUUAACCCUGAGCCUGCUUCCGAUACGGGCAGACUAGAGGUAUGCAGGGGAGAACGGAAUUCCUGGUGUAGCGGUGAAAUGGGCAGAUAUCAGGAGGAACACCGGUGGCGAAGGCGGUUCUCUGGGCAUUACCUGACGCUGAGGAGCGAAAGUGUGGGGAGCGAACAGG